CCUACGGGAGGCAGCAGUGGGGAAUUUUGGACAAUGGGGGAAACCCUGAUCCAGCCAUGCCGCGUGCAGGAAGAAGGCCUUCGGGUUGUAAACUGCUUUAGUCUAGGAAAAAGGGAUGAUGGAUUAAUACUCCGUUGUUUUGAUGGUACUGGAAGAAUAAGCACCGGCUAACUACGUGCCAGCAGCCGCGGUAAUACGUAGGGUGCGAGCGUUAAUCGGAAUUACUGGGCGUAAAGCGUGCGCAGGCGGUCCGUUAAGACAGUCGUGAAAGCCCCGGGCUCAACCUGGGAACUGCGAUUGUGACUGGCGGGCUAGAGUGUGUCAGAGGGGGGUGGAAUUCCACGUGUAGCAGUGAAAUGCGUAGAGAUGUGGAGGAACACCGAUGGCGAAGGCAGCCCCCUGGGAUAACACUGACGCUCAUGCACGAAAGCGUGGGGAGCAAACAGGAUUAGAUACCCUGGUAGUCCACGCCCUAAACGAUGUCGACUGGUUGUUAGGAACGGGUUAACCUUUUAGUAACGAGCUAACGCGUGAAGUCGACCGCGUGGGGAGGUACGGUCGCGAGAAUUAAACGUUAAAACGGUAAGUUAGACGGCGUGAGACGUGCCGACGGACGACGACGAGGGAGGUAGG
RNAcentral lists this ribosomal RNA (633 nucleotides) under uncultured bacterium. Its description in RNAcentral is "bacterial SSU rRNA". The stretch from base 1 to 545 matches the Rfam family "Bacterial small subunit ribosomal RNA", at positions 338 to 873 of the family's 1533-position model. The record is from RNAcentral.